This 172-nucleotide unclassified non-coding RNA is filed under the name uncultured fungus. Its description in RNAcentral is "sequence contains ITS1". Lineage: Eukaryota; Fungi. The record is from RNAcentral.
GUAACUAUUAAGUUUUUUCAGACGCUGAUUGCAACUGCAAGUGGUUUAAAUUGUCCAAUCGGCGGGCGGACCCGCCGAGGAAACGUAAGGUACUCAAAAGACAUGGGUAAGAGAUGGCAGGCAAAGCCCGCAACUCUAGGUAAUGAUCCUUCCGCAGGUUCACCUACGGAAA